This 792-nucleotide long non-coding RNA is filed under the name Marmota monax (woodchuck). The record is from RNAcentral. Lineage: Eukaryota; Metazoa; Chordata; Mammalia; Rodentia; Sciuridae.
CAUCCUCCCAGAGUGCAGCACGCCCUGUGGGCUCAACUUGAUUCCAAGGAACAGUAUGGGAAAGAGGAGAAAGAGGAGCUUCAUAGUAGAAAACCCAGCAGACACCACCUUACCCACAUAGUCGAGGCCAACAUGGCUGGGGCUGCAGAGCUCAGUGGUUUAAAAAAAAAUUAAAAAGGCCAAAGCCUGGAGAAGUGGCCCACACCUGUGAUCUCAGCUACGAGGGAGGCUGAGGCAGGAGGAUCACCAGUUGGAGUCCAACGUCAGCAACUUAGGGAGACCCUGUCUCAAAAUAAAAAAUAAAAAGGGCCGGGGAUGUGGCUCAGUGGUUAAGUGCUCCUGGGUUCAAUGCUCAGCACCACAAAAACACCAACAAAACCAGCUCACGUGGCAAGUCCCGGGCCAGCAUGUGCCCCCUGCCGAGAUGCGGUCUGUCUGUCCCCAAACCCCAUCACUCAGGUCUGGUCACGAGGAAAACAUCAGAUACCCUGACCUGAGGGCUCGUCGGCAAAACACUGACCAGAACUCCUCAAAAUGUACAAGGUCAGGAAAAGCAAGGAAGGACGGAGAAACUGUCACAGACCAGAGAGACAGACAGACAUGGCAGCCGGAAGCAACGAGGGCUCCGGGAGCAGAAAAGGGCAAACUGGGAACCCCCCCAGAGUCUGCAGCUGAGUUAGCGGUGGGGUGCGGAGGGGUCCUUAGCUGUGCCACAGGGACCCCGUCCUGGGAGGCAUUUCCAGGGGAGGGUUGUGAGGGGGUGGAUGGGACCCCUCCCCUUGCAAUUUCCCC